UACUGGCAUCGUCGGUUUCUCCCUUCUGACGAACCAUGAUGUCAUUUAUUUGGUGUCGUGGGGAAUCAGGACUGUUACUUUGAAAAAAUUAGAGUGUUUAAAGCAGGCUCACGCUUGAAUACAUUAGCAUGGAAUAAUGAAAUAGGACGUUUGAUUCUAUUUUGUUGGUUUCUAGGAUCGACGUAAUGAUUAAUAGGGAUAGUUGGGGGCAUUAGUAUUCAAUUGUCAGAGGUGAAAUUCUUGGAUUUAUUGAAGACUAACUACUGCGAAAACAUUUGCCAAGGAUGUUUUCAUUAAUCAAGAACGAAAGUUAGGGGAUCGAAGACGAUCAGAUACCGUCGUAGUCUUAACCAUAAACUAUGCCGACUAGGGAUCGGAUGAUGUUAAUUUUUUAAUGACUCAUUCGGCGCCUUACG
Molecule: ribosomal RNA, 416 nt
Filed under: uncultured Glomeromycotina
Lineage: Eukaryota; Fungi; Glomeromycota
Description: SSU rRNA
Rfam family: Eukaryotic small subunit ribosomal RNA
Source: RNAcentral